Molecule: long non-coding RNA, 911 nt
Organism: Erinaceus europaeus (western European hedgehog)
Lineage: Eukaryota; Metazoa; Chordata; Mammalia; Eulipotyphla; Erinaceidae
Exons: 3
Source: RefSeq, a predicted model, not a curated record
UGAGACAGAACAACAGAAUUUCCAAGUCCCCAGAGAAGCGCUGGUGCUCCGAUUAGACAAAAACCCCAGGAAUUUGAGCCGGGCUAAGGAUGAAUUUAAAAGCCUAGCUAUUUGGGGAUUUUUUUUUUUCUUUCCCCUUUCUGUCCCUUUUUUCAUCAGGAACAAAGGCAAAUAAGCAGAAAACAAAAUUGCCGCAGAGAUCACAAAACAUUUUCGAUGCAAUUAAGGCGGCGUCAUUUCUCCCUUAACAAGAAAGCGCCCGGAGGAAGCGUUUCUGCCAUCCCUGCAAACUAGGGACAAAGGGAAAAAAUGUGGUCUCAACAGCACACUGCUGGCUUCCACACCACGCCUGCGGUGAGCGCUGGGAAGGCUUCCAAGGGUGGACAAGCGUCUAGCAAGCCACACUUCCCAGAUCCUCCCUGCGCCGAGCACGCCAGGGAAGGACUAGGUGGCCUCUCCGGCUCCAAGUAGGCCCGCCCCCGCCGCCAUGAUGUUGUUUUCCCCAGUCCGGCCGCCCGGCCACGUGGCACACCGAUGCGACAGCGGAGGCCCCGCCCUCACUUCCGGCCAAACCGGUUCCAGCCGGCCGCGGCCCUCAGACGUGCGGUUGCCCCCUGGUGGCCACCGCAGGCUUCCGGCCGCGCCCUGUCGCGCCGCCAUUGCCUGCCCAGUCAGCUGCACGUUAGCAGCGUGUGUGGGCGGGGCUGCCGGAGCCGCGUGACCCCGGUGCGGGCGUUUGCCACGUGGUCAACCUGGGUCGCCUGUAGCCUCCGCGCCCUCAGCACAGGUGUUGGCAGCUAUUACCUCCUGUUUGGCUCCCUGUACUGCAGGCUCCAUGAGGAACCCAGACCCUCCUGACACACAGGCAUAGAACACCCAGGAAUGAUGCAGGAGGUGGUGGAUCCACAAGA